CCGCGCGAAGGUAGCGUAAUCACUUGUCUUCUAAAUAAAGACUAGUAUGAACGGCCACACGAGGACUUGACUGUCUCCCUUGUCCAAUCAGUGAAACUGAUCCCCUCGUGCAGAAGCGAGGAUAUACCCAUAAGACGAGAAGACCCUAUGGAGCUUUAAACUCAAUAUUAAUUACCUUUUAACCCCCCUCUAAGGAACUAACAAAUAAUUUUAAAACUUAAUAUUAGUUUUAGGUUGGGGCGACCAUGGAGAAAAAAAUAUCCUCCCUGAUGAUCUUCUAACCAAGAGCCACAGCUCCAAGUAUUAAGAUACUUAACUCCCAUUGACCCAUUUUGUGAUCAACGAACCAAGUUACCCUAGGGAUAACAGCGCAAUCCAUUUCAAGAGUCCCUAUCGACAAAUGGGUUUACGACCUCGAUGUUGGAUCAGGGCAUCCUA
RNAcentral lists this ribosomal RNA (438 nucleotides) under Megophrys zhangi. RNAcentral describes it as "partial large subunit ribosomal RNA". It matches the Rfam family "Bacterial large subunit ribosomal RNA", at positions 1946 to 2549 of the family's 2925-position model. Lineage: Eukaryota; Metazoa; Chordata; Amphibia; Anura; Megophryidae. The record is from RNAcentral.